Molecule: long non-coding RNA, 1222 nt
Filed under: Phasianus colchicus (ring-necked pheasant)
Lineage: Eukaryota; Metazoa; Chordata; Aves; Galliformes; Phasianidae
Description: lncRNA (ENSPCLG00000012854.1)
Source: RNAcentral
CCCAACCACGCCCCGUGCGCGAUGAGGAGGGCGGCGGGCCGCGGCGUGCUCGCCCGGAGUGCUGUCCUACGCAAAUCAGAGUAUGGUUGUUGUAUGGAGUUAUUUUAAUAGUCCUUCCUGGUCAGUCCCUUGUUUUGGUCUGCUGUAACGUAUUACUGCUAUUCUCACAGAAUCACCAAGGUUGGAAAAGACCUUCUUGAUCAGCCAGUCCAACCAUCCACCCUGCACCGAUAGUUCUCACUAAGCCACGUCCCUCAACACAGAACCAACCCUUCCUUCAACACCUCCAGGGUCGGUGACUCCACCACCUCCCCGGGCAGCCCAUUCCAGUGCCUGACCACUCUUUCAGAAAAGCAGUAUUUCCUAACGCCCCCAUUUUGUUGGGUAUUUUUUAACCCCGUCAUAAGAUGCUGGGUGUACAACGAGUGGCCUCAAAGUACUGCAUCUGCUGGGAGAAACUUUUGGAGCUGAGGACCCUGCAUCCCAUGCAGGCUCAUUCCAGGGGUCCUAUCUCAGACUAGCUCAAAUCUCAUUCUGCAGACCACAUGCCACAUUGGAGUUCAGACUGUAUGAGAAAGUCGCCAGUGAAACAUCUGGAGGGGUCAAAAUGUAGUGACAGUCAAAUUAUCAAAAGGAGUUUAAAGUGGCACACUGUGAGCUUGUGAUGGGGAAGCUUUCAUUACAGUUUUCACUAUAGACAGAAACAACUUGUCCUUGGCAGCUUUCUGGACACACGGGGUAGGAGCAAUUAAUACCCGCAGAACAGGGCCACCAUUAAAAUGAACCCUAAUAGGUCCUCGAUGGCCAGCAGGAGCCUCCAGAAGGUCAACGAAAGUAAAAGCUAAAUUCUUCCCCAGCACACAGCUGAGCCUGACAGGGCAGCAGCUCUGCAGGCAGUGCCUCCAGCCUGAGCCCAAUGAGUCUUGCCUGCUAGAAUAUACCUUGGAACAGAAGCAAAAAAGGAAAUCAUAGAAAUGCUUGAAAAUUACACAAAGCUUGUCCCAGUUUUGGAAAUAGGACAUCUGUAAUAUGCUUAUAUUUCUUCAAGGAUAUGCAUUGGUGGAACAUUUUGUGCAGAGAAACAACUAAUAUUUACUAAUCAUAUGUUGAUGUGCAGCACCACUGUAGAGUUUAUGCAUGUUUGCACAGAAGCAGAAGAGAUUGCGCACAGUAUUUUAGAACAACAUAGUUAGAAGAUCCUUCAGGAAUUAACUCAGCUCAC